This 100-nucleotide small nuclear RNA is filed under the name Oreochromis aureus. The record is from RNAcentral. Lineage: Eukaryota; Metazoa; Chordata; Actinopteri; Cichliformes; Cichlidae.
GCUUGCUUCGGCAAGCGCGUACGCUAAAUUGGAUACGAUACAGAGAAGAUUAGCAUGGCCCCUGCGUUAGAUAGCACUACUUUCCAUUCUCCCUAUUUUU